RNAcentral lists this ribosomal RNA (754 nucleotides) under uncultured archaeon. RNAcentral describes it as "bacterial SSU rRNA". It matches the Rfam family "Archaeal small subunit ribosomal RNA", at positions 102 to 859 of the family's 1478-position model. The record is from RNAcentral.
AGUCAACAUGCCCAGAGGACGUGGAUAACCUCGGGAAACUGAGGAUAAACCGCGAUAGGCCAUGAUUUCUGGAAUGGUUUAUGGCUGAAAUCUAUAUGGCCUCUGGAUUGGACUGCGGCCGAUCAGGCUGUUGGUGAGGUAAUGGCCCACCAAACCUGUAACCGGUACGGGCUCUGAGAGGAGGAGCCCGGAGAUGGGCACUGAGACAAGGGCCCAGGCCCUAUGGGGCGCAGCAGGCGCGAAAUCUCUGCAAUAGGCGAAAGCUUGACAGGGUUACUCUGAGUGAUUCCCGCUAAGGGGAUCUUUUGGCACCUCUAAAAAUGGUGCAGAAUAAGGGGUGGGCAAGUCUGGUGUCAGCCGCCGCGGUAAUACCAGCACCCCGAGUGGUCGGGACGAUUAUUGGGCCUAAAGCAUCCGUAGCCGGUACUGCAAGUCUUCCGUUAAAUCCACCUGCUCAACAGUUGGGCUGCGGAGGAUACUACAGCGCUAGGAGGCGGGAGAGGCAAGCGGUACUCAGUGGGUAGGGGUAAAAUCCAUUGAUCCAUUGAAGACCACCAGUGGCGAAGGCGGCUUGCCAGAACGCGCUCGACGGUGAGGGAUGAAAGCUGGGGGAGCAAACCGGAUUAGAUACCCGGGUAGUCCCAGCUGUAAACGAUGCAGACUCGGUGAUGGGCUGGCCUUGUGCCAACCCAGUGCCGCAGGGAAGCCGUUAAGUCUGCCGCCUGGGGAGUACGGUCGCAAGACUGAAACUUAA